GCAGCCGCGGUAAUUCCAGCUCCAAUAGCGUAUAUUAAAGUUGUUGCAGUUAAAAAGCUCGUAGUUGAAUUUCGGGAUCAAUAUAUCGGUCGUGCCAUUGGUACGUACUGGUAUCAUUGAUUUCUCCUUUCUGACGAACCAUGAUGUCAUUAAUUUGGUGUUAUGGGGAGUUAGGACUGUUACUUUGAAAAAAUUAGAGUGUUUAAAGCAGGCAUUAGCUUGAAUACAUUAGCAUGGAAUAAUGAAAUAGGACGUUUGACCCUAUUUUGUUGGUUUCUAGGAUCGACGUAAUGAUUAAUAGGGAUAGUUGGG
RNAcentral lists this ribosomal RNA (312 nucleotides) under uncultured Glomus. RNAcentral describes it as "SSU rRNA". It matches the Rfam family "Eukaryotic small subunit ribosomal RNA", at positions 570 to 886 of the family's 1831-position model. The record is from RNAcentral. Lineage: Eukaryota; Fungi; Glomeromycota; Glomeromycetes; Glomerales; Glomeraceae.